CCCCUCGUGGUGUAGUGGUCAGCACGCUCGGCGGGUAUUCGAGAGGUCCGUGGUUCGAGUCCUGGCGAGGGAA
This 73-nucleotide transfer RNA is filed under the name Stegodyphus mimosarum. It matches the Rfam family "tRNA". Rfam says of the family: Transfer RNA (tRNA) molecules are approximately 80 nucleotides in length. Their secondary structure includes four short double-helical elements and three loops (D, anti-codon, and T loops). Lineage: Eukaryota; Metazoa; Arthropoda; Arachnida; Araneae; Eresidae. The record is from Rfam by way of RNAcentral.